Molecule: ribosomal RNA, 119 nt
Filed under: Pteropus alecto (black flying fox)
Lineage: Eukaryota; Metazoa; Chordata; Mammalia; Chiroptera; Pteropodidae
Source: RNAcentral
GUCUAUGGCCAUGCUACUCUGAACAAGCCUGAUCCCAUCUGAUCUCAGAAGCUAAGUGGGGUCAGGCCUGGUUAGUACUCGGAUGGGAGACCACCUAGGAAGACCUGGUGCUAUAGGCU